GACGAACGUUGGCGGCGUGCCUAAUACAUGCAAGUCGAGCGGUAAGGCCCUUUCGGGGGUACACGAGCGGCGAACGGGUGAGUAACACGUGGGUGACCUGCCCUCAGCUCUGGGAUAAGCCUGGGAAACCGGGUCUAAUACUGGAUAUGACUCCAUGACGCAUGUUGUGGGGUGGAAAGCCUUGUGCGGCUGAGGAUGGGCCCGCGGCCUAUCAGCUUGUUGGUGGGGUGAUGGCCUACCAAGGCGACGACGGGUAGCCGGCCUGAGAGGGCGACCGGCCACACUGGGACUGAGACACGGCCCAGACUCCUACGGGAGGCAGCAGUGGGGAAUCUUGCGCAAUGGGCGAAAGCCUGACGCAGCGACGCCGCGUGAGGGAUGACGGCCU
Molecule: ribosomal RNA, 388 nt
Filed under: uncultured bacterium
Lineage: Bacteria
Description: bacterial SSU rRNA
Rfam family: Bacterial small subunit ribosomal RNA
Source: RNAcentral